GGAAUAGAACGAAAUCAGCUGAGUCUCAAGGUAACAGCCCAGCUGAGGCGCUCCUCCUGCCUUCUGCAAUAUGUUCUGCUCCAGAGAGCUGCCAGGAAAAGACCAGCAUUCAAACCACUGCUGAGGAAUAUGAAAGGCGAGAGCAACAAAAGAGAAGAAAGCUCACACCGACCAAGACUGUGGUGCUGCACGAGGGAAACUUCCGUUCCUGGUCUGGGGUAUGAGGCUUCAUGCCAGAUAUAUUGACAAAUCUGAUGGCCUUCUGCAACAGGGUUACAACAUUGGUGGAUAGGGGAAGAGCAACUGACAGCAUCUACCUGGACAAAUGGAAAGCAUUUUACAGUGUCCCACACGACAUCCUUGCCUCUUCAUUGGAGAGACAUGGAUUUGAUGGAUGGACCACUCGGUGGGUAAGGCACUGGCUGGAUGGUCGCACUCAAAGAGCUGCAGUCAACGGCUCAGUGUCCAAGUGGAGAUCGGUGAUGAGUGGUGUUCCUCAAGGGUCAGUAUUGGGACCGGCGCUGUUUAACAUCCUUGUCAAUGACAUAGUGGGAUCAAGUGAACUCUCAGCAAGGUAGCUGAUGACAUCAAGCUGCGUGGUGCAGUCAGCAUCCUGGAGGGAAAGGAUGAGAUCCAGAGGGACCUGGCCAGGCCUGCAAGGUGGGCUCGUGUAACCUCAUGAGGUUUAACAAGGCCAAGGGCAAGGUCUUGUGUCUGGGCUGGGGCAAUCUCAAGCACAAACACAGGCUGGGUGGAAAAUGGAUUGAGAGCAGCCCUGAGGAGAAGGACCUGGGAGUUGUGGUUGAUGGGGGAGGGGAUUCUCCCCCUAUGCUCCAGGCCCAGCACCAGGAGGAUGUGGAGCUGCUGGAGAGGGCCCAGAGGAGGCCCCGAGAAGGAGCAGAGGCUGGAGCCCCUCUGCUCUGGAGCCAUCUGAGGGAGCUGGGGGUGUUGGGCCUGGGGAGGAAAAGGCUCCGGGGAGACCUCCCAGUGGCCUGCCCAGGCCUGAGGGGCUGCAGGAGAGCUGGGGAGGGACUCGGGGUCAGGAGGUGUAGUGAUAGGUUAACAGGCAAUGUCUUUGAACUAAAAGAGGGGAGAUUUAGAUUGGAUAUAAGAAGAAAUUCUUUACUAUGAGGGUGGUGAGGCACUGGCACAGGUUGCUCAGAGAAGCUGUGGGUACCCCAUCCAUGGAAGAGUUCAAGACCAGGCUGGAUGGGGCUUUGAGCAACAUGGUCUAGUGGGAGGUUUUCCUUCCCAUGGGGGUUGGAAUGAGAUGAUCUUUAAGGUCCCUUCCAACUUAAAUCAUUCUAUGAUUCUAUGAUUUGUUUCUGUACCCAUCACAUUUCUAUUUUGGAUUUCAUGUUGCUGCAUGUUCAGAAGCAGAAGAAAGUAGAGGUCCUCUCCCCAUCCAAAAUCUGAGCUACUUAAUUCAUGAAAAUUAGAUCCUACUGUCUUGUCCUACUUGUCCGGUGCUUUCAAGCUAGGUGGCCUAAAUUCAGCUCACAGAUUAAGUGCACCAGAUCCCAAUCUGUAUUUUUUCAUUUAGUUUUAGCUUCACUUAAAGAUUUCUGAAUGGAUCACAAAGGCAGGCUGGGAGACUGCAUUGUGAGUGGAGAACUCAUUACACAUUACUUCUGUCUUUGUACACCUUUGAAGACCUGCAGAAGGGCUAAACUGUCCCUGAACAAAGAGGAAUGAGGAAAGAAAUAAAAUGAAGCCAUUUGUUAAAUCAAAAUAAAUGAAGCAGUGAAAAAUAAUGGUCCCAUCUGCACCUACCACUGGUUCAGGGUCAGUUCUGUUGAAGAAAAGUGCAAUGCCAAAAAUUGAAAAGAAGAAUGCAAUAGAACCCUGUCCAUUUUCCUCACCAUACAUAGUUCAUAAUAAUAAUAAUAAUUAAUAAUAAUAAUAAUAAUAAUAAUAAUAAUAAUAGUAUCUAACUCUCUUGCAGUGCUGUGUAUCUUCAAAACAUUGCACAAAUAGGACUUGAAUGUAAAUUAUUUUUCCAAGAUUUUCUGCUACUCGGUAUCCACUUUCCUCCUUUAUUUUAUCGUCACAUUAACAGACUGAGACAGAUUUUUUUCCUGAUGUAACACCAUUGACAACAGCAGAAUUAUGUCUAGGAUCAACCUGGCCCAAUUUAUUACUGUUUUAAUAGACGAUAAGAGUAUUAUAAUGGUGUUCCACUUAAGUUGGAACAAAGAAUUUUCACAGCAUUCAGCACACAUAAUGACAUGAUUAAACCCUGUAUCCUUUUAAACCCUGUAUCCUUUCCAGGAAAUCCAAACCACUAUAAUUAUAAAGAGAAAAAAAAGAGAAAAAAAAAAAAAAAAAAGGAAAGACGUAAACAAUGUGUAAUCAUGAUAGUUGAUGAUAUUACAAACUUUUGGUUUAGUACAUAGUACUUGUCCCCUUCCCAGGAUGAAUAAAGAAAUGUUAUAGCCAGAACAAAUUAUGACCUCCUGAAUAACACAUGCCAGAGAAUUUAAACCAUAACCUCUAUCGGAUGAGAAAAGUUUUCUUUCACAGUUGCAAACCUAAUAACUGAUGGCUAAGAUUAGUAUAUUUUGGAAAGGUAAACAAAUCCUACUUUAAAGCUUCACAGCAAUGGCAACUUUUUACCUUUUUUGCAAUCCCUUCCAACCUUUAUAAGUAAGGAGGUAUAUCUUAACCAAGGCCACCAGCAAUGAUGCAAGCUUUAGCCUCAAUGUACAUUUCUACCGCUUAAGCUGGCUUCUAAGCUGAACAGAGCAGCUACUCUCCUUGCAGAGAAGCAAGGUAAAGCAAUUGCCACAGCUCCCUGCAGCAGUCACGCAUGAGUAUCCAUAAGCAGCUGAAAGGAUCUCCAUUUGCUUUGCCUCUAGAAAGACUGAACCUGAAGGGAGGCACAAGAGGGGAGGCAGAGUUGUUAUAAUGGAGUCACAAAUUGCUCAGCAGUGCCUACAGGCGAUGCAGCCUUUCUGCAUCUCUCCCCAGCGAGCACCGUAAGUUUCCUAACAUGCACACCUACUCCCCGCUCCCAGCAGCCUCUCACCUGUGCUAAAAAACUUCUGCCAUCUCCAUCCAGUUGAACCUGUGACAUUUCUGAACAUACACAUAAUUACUAUACCUCUAAGAAAAAUGUGUUGAGUUUCACCCAUUACGCCUAUACGUGGUCCUUUGACUUCUUCACACUGAAAUCUUACUACCUAAUGACAAGCACUGGGACAUCACAUUCUGCAUCCAGCCAGCUGACCUCAGGCUAUCUGUGAUAGAAGCCCUCUUCUCCCUGCUUCUCCCAGAGGUGCUACAACUGAUGCAACCAAGCGCUCAAGAGGCUCAUAUACCAUUAGAAACAGGCAUGAGUGAGUUGGGUUGGCAGGGACCUUAUAGACCAUCUCAUUCCAACCCCCAGCCAUAGGCAGGGACACCUCCCACCAGACCAGGUUGCUCCAAGCCCCAUCCAACCUGGCCUUCAGCACUUCCAGGGAUGGGGCAUCCACAGCUUCUCUGGGCACUGGCUUAUCAUAGACGAUAAUGACAGCUUAUCAGAGUGAUUACAGUUCUCUUAUUGUUUCCUUUAAUUUCUCCAACUGUCUGUAGCAAUCUGUUGUCUUUUCUCUUAGUUUAUAUGAAAGCUUUGGGGAUAAAGGACUUUAUUUCUUCUGUGCUUUACCCAGCAAGGUCAUAGUCUGUGCCAAGUUUAGUAUUUGAAAACAUUAAUGACAUUUUUUUAAAUAUUUUUGCUCUACUGCUGUACUAUAAUAGCAGAAAGUAAACUGUACAGACUUUAUGGAAAUGUGACAUUCGAACAGAAUCACUCAAAGGCAUUUCAGCUAUAAUUAACAUUUUUCACUUCUUGCAAAGAAAAUAAAAAUAGUUUCUAAUUGAA
Non-coding RNA from Anas platyrhynchos (mallard), 3865 nucleotides. Lineage: Eukaryota; Metazoa; Chordata; Aves; Anseriformes; Anatidae. The record is from RefSeq and is a predicted model, not a curated record.